AUCAGGUCCCUCGUCGCUUGCGUCGCCGUAUUAAUUUUAAUUAGGAGCCUGUAAAAUUUUUCAUUCAUCAUUUUUGCAAUUUUGAAUAAAUAUCUUUUUACCUUUUCCUUUAUUUGCCUUACACCUUUACUUUGAAGUACGUUAGUGUAACCGAAAUUUUUCUUGGUCAGUACCAUAUUCCUUUUUCCUUUUCUAAAGGUGUCGGAUUUUUGGCAAGUCGAUCUCAUUUCUCCCUGGAAAUGUCGAUGUUGCCUAAAAAUGUCGAUCCCACCUUUUUUCCGAGAAAGUCGAUGACUGCUGAUCCUUUUCUAAAGGUGUCCGAUUUUUGACAAGUCGAUCUCAUCUCUCCCUGGAAAUGUCGAUAUUGUAAAAAAUGUCGAUCCCACCUUUUUUCUGAGAAAGUCGAUGACUGCUGAUCCUUUUCUAAAGGUGUCGAAUUUUUGACAAGUCGAUCUCAUUUCUCCCUGGAAAUGUCGAUGUUGUAAAAAAUGUCGAUCCCACCUUUUUUCUGAGGAUGUCGAAGACUGCUGAUCCUUUUCUAAAGGUGUCGAAUUUUUGACAAGUCGAUCUCAUUUCUCCCUGGAAAUGUCGAUGUUGUAAAAAAUGUCGAUCCCACCUUUUUCUGAGGAUGUCGAUGAGAGUGGUGUGGAAUGUCGAACCUGACCUUCUCUUUUGAAGGUUUCGAAUUCCUUGCCAAAUGUCGACGCCUAUUCCCUUCUCCUGGGAAUGUCGAACAUGCUUUCCUGCGGAAUGUCG
RNAcentral lists this long non-coding RNA (756 nucleotides) under Zostera marina. Its description in RNAcentral is "long non-coding RNA (ZMAR_LNC001006)". Lineage: Eukaryota; Viridiplantae; Streptophyta; Magnoliopsida; Alismatales; Zosteraceae. The record is from RNAcentral.